GAGGCGUUAGUCUAUUAAGGGCAUCCCGCUGUUAACGGGAAAGAGGGCUGUAGGGGCUCACGCUUCU
RNAcentral lists this transfer RNA (67 nucleotides) under Pecten maximus. RNAcentral describes it as "transfer RNA-Asn". Lineage: Eukaryota; Metazoa; Mollusca; Bivalvia; Pectinida; Pectinidae. The record is from RNAcentral.